This 425-nucleotide ribosomal RNA is filed under the name uncultured bacterium. RNAcentral's name for it is "partial 16S ribosomal RNA". It matches the Rfam family "Bacterial small subunit ribosomal RNA", at positions 354 to 796 of the family's 1533-position model. The record is from RNAcentral.
GUGGGGAAUCUUGCGCAAUGGGCGAAAGCCUGACGCAGCCAUGCCGCGUGAAUGAUGAAGGUCUUAGGAUUGUAAAAUUCUUUCACCGGGGACGAUAAUGACGGUACCCGGAGAAGAAGCCCCGGCUAACUUCGUGCCAGCAGCCGCGGUAAUACGAAGGGGGCUAGCGUUGCUCGGAAUUACUGGGCGUAAAGGGCGCGUAGGCGGCUCGUUAAGUCAGGGGUGAAAUCCCAGAGCUCACUUCUGGAACUGCCCUUGAGACUGGCGAUCUUGAGUGUGAGAGAUGUAUGUGGAACUCCGAGUGUAGAGGUGAAAUUCGUAGAUAUUCGGAAGAACACCAGUGGCGAAGGCGACAUACUGGCUCAUUACUGACGCUGAGGCGCGAAAGCGUGGGGAGCAAACAGGAUUAGAAACCCGGGUAGUCC